GACGGAGGAUGCAAGCGUUAUCCGGAAUGAUUGGGCGUAAAGCGUCCGCAGGUGGCAGUUCAAGUCUGCUGUCAAAGACCGGGGCUUAACUUCGGAAAGGCAGUGGAAACUGAACAGCUAGAGUAUGGUAGGGGCAGAGGGAAUUCCUGGUGUAGCGGUGAAAUGCGUAGAGAUCAGGAAGAACAUCGGUGGCGAAGGCGCGUCUGCUGGACCAUAACUGACACUCAGGGACGAAAGCUAGGGGAGCGAAUGGG
RNAcentral lists this ribosomal RNA (254 nucleotides) under uncultured bacterium. RNAcentral's name for it is "partial 16S ribosomal RNA". It matches the Rfam family "Bacterial small subunit ribosomal RNA", at positions 524 to 776 of the family's 1533-position model. The record is from RNAcentral.